Non-coding RNA from Cajanus cajan (pigeon pea), 567 nucleotides. The record is from RefSeq and is a predicted model, not a curated record. Lineage: Eukaryota; Viridiplantae; Streptophyta; Magnoliopsida; Fabales; Fabaceae.
AUGCGGAGUAUAUUCAGGGAUGAUUUAGAAGGCUUGAAAAGGAAGCCAAAAUCAAAAGUAGAUUUUCAUUACGCAUCCCAAGACAGUGUUGCCUUUGAUGAUGUAAAGAAUAACAUCACCAACCCUGGGUCCAAAAUUCAGCUUCCUUACAAUUGGUUGGUGACAGAGCAAGACGAAGGUGAGAAUAUUGAAGCAAAGGCCAAAGAAAACAGUCUCUCCAAUGUGGGGCUUUAAUACGCAUGCCAAGAUAAUAUAUGGAAGCUCACAGACAUCUUUUCCAGAGAUUCAAAUCAUUGGAUCCAAGUGAAGGACAAGAAGAACCAUUGAAAGGACAAUAAGGAGGGUCAUGUGGAUGUUUGGCCUAGUUGUGGAGGCCUUUUCCCUUUAUUUAUUGUUUUUGUGUAUUUAUGUGUUAUGCUUUAUGUGUAAUUGUUUGUUCGUGAAUUUCCAUUUCAGUUUGUAUGUUAUGUAUGCCCAUGUAACAACUUAUCGGGUACUUGACUACUUGAAUUACUUGGACAAUUAUUUCUGCUGCAAUCAAUAUAUAAAUGAUCUUAUUUGAUUUUA